ACUUGAAUUGCUCACAGCUCAUGUAUGAUUUAACAGGCAACAGCAGAGAUAUAAGCAUGCCUGAAUCUCCAGAGCAUGACAAAGGAGUGGAUGGAUAGCACCACAUUCCUGAAAUCUCACUCCAGAUCAAAAAAUAAACUGCAAAAGGAAAAUAAAUGAAUCAUUCUCAUGUCCACUGUGGAUGAAGUUACACAGCAUCACAGAAUCAGAGCUUUAAGAAAUUUUGACAUGUUCUUUCAGAUUCCAAUUCUUUGGAUUCUUAAGCCAAACUUUUUCAAGGCUCUUUCAACAGAUGCACAUGCUGGGGCCCUCUUCUAGGAGGUCUUACAGC
RNAcentral lists this long non-coding RNA (331 nucleotides) under Zonotrichia albicollis (white-throated sparrow). RNAcentral describes it as "lncRNA (ENSZALG00000007055.1)". The record is from RNAcentral. Lineage: Eukaryota; Metazoa; Chordata; Aves; Passeriformes; Passerellidae.